RNAcentral lists this ribosomal RNA (264 nucleotides) under uncultured prokaryote. Its description in RNAcentral is "partial 16S ribosomal RNA". It matches the Rfam family "Bacterial small subunit ribosomal RNA", at positions 524 to 788 of the family's 1533-position model. The record is from RNAcentral.
UACGUAGGGGCAAGCGUUAUCCGGAUUUACUGGGCGUAAAGGGAGCGUAGGCGGACUUUUAAGUGAGAUGUGAAAUACCCGGGCUCAACUUGGGUGCUGCAUUUCAAACUGGAAGUCUAGAGUGCAGGAGAGGAGAAUGGAAUUCCUAGUGUAGCGGUGAAAUGCGUAGAGAUUAGGAAGAACACCAGUGGCGAAGGCGAUUCUCUGGACUGUAACUGACGCUGAGGCUCGAAAGCGUGUGGAGCAAACAGGAUUAGAUACCCU